Molecule: ribosomal RNA, 464 nt
Filed under: uncultured bacterium
Lineage: Bacteria
Description: partial 16S ribosomal RNA
Rfam family: Bacterial small subunit ribosomal RNA
Source: RNAcentral
GACGAACGCUGGCGGCGUGCUUAACACAUGCAAGUCGAACGAUGAAGCCAGCUUGCUGCUGGUUUAGUGUCGAACGGGUGAGUAACACGUGGGUGAUCUUCCCCAACCUUUGGGAUAAGCCUGGGAAACUGGAUCUAAUACCGAAUCUGACCGAUACUCGCAUGGGCGUUGGUGGAAAGCUCCGGCGGUUUGUGAUGGUCCCGCGGCCUAUCAGCUUGUUGGUGGGGUAAUGGCCGACGAAGGCGGCGACGGGUAGCCGGCCUGGGAGGGCGACCGGCGACAAGGGGACUGCGGGACGGCGCAGACGCCUAUGGGAGGCAGUGGUGGGGAGUAUUGCACAACGGGCGCGAGCCUGAUGCAGAGACGCCGCGUGCGGGAUGACGGGUUUCGGGUGGUAAACAUCUUUCUCCAGGGACGAAGCGAAAGUGACGGUACCUGGAGAAGAAGCACCGGCCAACUACGUG